This 1407-nucleotide ribosomal RNA is filed under the name Triticum aestivum (bread wheat). RNAcentral's name for it is "partial small subunit ribosomal RNA". Lineage: Eukaryota; Viridiplantae; Streptophyta; Magnoliopsida; Poales; Poaceae. The record is from RNAcentral.
AUGACCCGCUUGCAUCAUAGGCGUGUCUCAAUGGCUAGGUCGAACAGGUCUUCUUCUAGUGCCUCCGUAGGAAACAAUGGAUCAACUCAGUCAACUGUACAGGCUAAAAAGCCUAGAACACCAAGAACUAGGACUUCAGCCGGUCUCAGACUAGAGGAAAUUGACCGACCGCUUAUAGUUCCCGUUGGCAUGGCAUGGGAAAGGCACCCAUACAGCGCUCGUGAUCCAUCAACGGUGCUAGGUGCCUUAGUGCGCCAGAUGUAUCCACCGCCAAUUGGUCCAAAAAAUGAUCAGAAACCGGUAUUGUGUUGGGAGGACUACAAGUGGUCCCCUGGUCCAGAAGUAAGAACAGCAGCUUCCAAAAUAGUGGAAGAAUUUUGGUGGCAUUUCAAGUGUGACCCAUCGGAGCAAGAGAAGGCAGAUGAACUAACAGAAGAGGAUGAGGAUGGUAACCACUGGCCAACUAAGGAAGCUUUAAUUUCUGCAAAGAGAGUUGACUUUGGUACAGACGUUGGUUGGCGUCUACUAUGUGAGCACUGGAGUAGUACUGAAUUUAGAGGGUUAUCUUUAACCAACAAAAGGAACAUACUUGCUAAUGGGGACACGGUCUUCCAUUGCAGUGGUGCUAGAAAUGUUGUCGCCACACGUCAAUUUCUGAAACUCAAAACCGGGAAAGACCCUGGAAUUUCUGGUGCUUGGCUUCACACGCACAAAUUGCAUCGAGGGACUGAUGAAGAGCAGAUAUGCAGUCAAAGAACUGCUGAUCAUUGGGAGGAUUUUGAUAAGGCAAUGAAAAAUGCCCAUGGAGAAAAUUGGGAAGAGGAGCACCCGGAUUUAGAUGGACAAAUCAUCUACGAAGCAGCAGACAGAAUGCCACAUGGCAGGCUGGGAAUUGCUAAUGAGUUGUUUAGCAAAGCAGAGAAGGCGAAGUUUAAGUCUAAAAGGGCGAUGGCCUCACAGCCGGUGCAAUCUGCUAAGGAGGAGUGUCUAGAAAGAGACAAAAAAUAUUUGAAGCAGGAGAUCAAGCGUCUUCGAGGCAUUGAGCUUGUUGUUCAGUCUUUGGCUGAGAAAGGGGGAGUCGACUUUGAUGGCAUAAUGCAAUCAGCAACAGAUGACUUGUCUCCAUCAUAUUCUGAAGGCGGAUUUCAAAGGGGACGAGGUGAUGUGCCUCAACACCAAACCGAAAAGGGAAUGGGAAGCAGGACUGGAGGCAGUACGAGUCAUGGAAAUGAUGAUGAGGACGACGACUAUGGCAAUGGGGGAUAUGGUAACUAUGGCGAGGGUGAUCUGUAUGGUGAUGAGCACUAUGAUCACUAUGGUGAUGGGGAAUAUGAUGACUAUGGAGAUGAGGAUGACUAUGGCUAUGGCUAUGGCGGUGGCGAUGGCGAUGAUGAUGAUUGGCUAUAA